CACGUAGGUCCCGAGCGUUGUCCGGAUUUAUUGGGCGUAAAGCGAGCGCAGGUGGUUUAAUAAGUCUGAUGUAAAAGGCAGUGGCUCAACCAUUGUGUGCAUUGGAAACUGUUAGACUUGAGUGCAGUAGAGGAGAGUGGAAUUCCAUGUGUAGCGGUGAAAUGCGUAGAUAUAUGGAGGAACACCGGUGGCGAAAGCGGCUCUCUGGACUGUCACUGACACUGAGGCUCGAAAGCGUGGGUAGCAAACAGG
This 252-nucleotide ribosomal RNA is filed under the name uncultured microorganism. RNAcentral describes it as "partial 16S ribosomal RNA". It matches the Rfam family "Bacterial small subunit ribosomal RNA", at positions 524 to 776 of the family's 1533-position model. The record is from RNAcentral.